GCCAGACUAUCCAAGGCCGCGGGCUCUGUCUCCAGCACAGCGAUCAUCGGUGUUGGCCGAGGUGGGGUGGACGGCCCUGUCCCGCAAAUGUCCGUCCAUGGACCAUUCACCAGUUGCUGGAUGCUGGAGAUGCAGAUGAGGACCCAGGGUUGCUGGCUUCAUGGCCCUCAGAUGCUAGAGGGAAACACAGACAAUAAACAGAUUUUUAAGUAUGCAGCAAAACUUUCUUGGAAAAGGAAGAAACAUUUGUUCCAGUGACCCAGCACUGUCCACCUCUGCUAUGGACUGAUCUGCCCCGGG
RNAcentral lists this long non-coding RNA (300 nucleotides) under Heterocephalus glaber (naked mole-rat). RNAcentral describes it as "lncRNA (ENSHGLG00100051972.1)". Lineage: Eukaryota; Metazoa; Chordata; Mammalia; Rodentia; Bathyergidae. The record is from RNAcentral.